RNAcentral lists this ribosomal RNA (468 nucleotides) under uncultured bacterium. Its description in RNAcentral is "partial 16S ribosomal RNA". It matches the Rfam family "Bacterial small subunit ribosomal RNA", at positions 28 to 507 of the family's 1533-position model. The record is from RNAcentral.
GACGAACGCUGGCGGCGUGCUUAACACAUGCAAGUCGAACGGACAGGCCCUGCUUUUGUUGGGUGCUCGUGUGGCGAACGGGUGAGUAACACGCGAGUAACCUGCCCUUGACUUUGUGAUAACUUCAGGAAACUGGGGCUAAUACCGGAUAGGAGCUCUUGCUGCAUGUUGGGGGUUGGUAAGUUUCGGCGGUUGGGGAUGGACUCGCGGGUUAUCAGCUUGUUGGUGGGGUAGUGGCUUACCAAGGUUUUGACGGGUAGCCGGCCUGAGAGGGUGACCGGCCACAAUGGGACUGAGAGACGGCCCAGACUCCUACGGGAGGCAGCAGUGGGGAAUAUUGCGCAAUGGGCGGAAGCGUGAUGCAGCAACGCCGCGUGCGGGAUGACGGCCUUCGGGUUGUAAACCGCUUUCGACUGUGACGAAGCGUGAGUGACGGUAAUGGGUAAAGAAGCACCGGCUAACUACGUG